Molecule: ribosomal RNA, 433 nt
Filed under: uncultured bacterium
Lineage: Bacteria
Description: partial 16S ribosomal RNA
Rfam family: Bacterial small subunit ribosomal RNA
Source: RNAcentral
AACGAACGCUGGCGGCAUGCCUAACACAUGCAAGUCGAACGAGACCUUCGGGUCUAGUUGCGCACGGGUGCGUAACGCGUGGUAACCUGCCCUUAGGUUCGGAAUAACUCCCCGAAAGGGGUGCUAAUACCGGAUAAUGUCUUCGGACCAAAGAUUUAUCGCCUUUGGAUGGGCCCGCGUUGGAUUAGCUAGUUGGUAGGGUAAAAGCCUACCAAGGCGACGAUCCAUAGCUGGUCUGAGAGGAUGAUCAGCCACACUGGGACUGAGACACGGCCCAGACUCCUACGGGAGGCAGCAGUGGGGAAUAUUGGACGAUGGGGGAAAGCCUGAUCCAGCAAUGCCGCGUGAGUGAUGAAGGGCUUAGGGUUGUAAAGCUCUUUUACCCGGGAUGAUAAUGACAGUACCGGGAGAAUAAGCUCCGGCUAACUCCGUG